UGAACGUCUGUGAAACUAUGAUGGCCACC
This 29-nucleotide small RNA is filed under the name Bombyx mori (domestic silkworm). RNAcentral's name for it is "piRNA piR-bmo-1270983". The record is from RNAcentral. Lineage: Eukaryota; Metazoa; Arthropoda; Insecta; Lepidoptera; Bombycidae.